ACAAUGAUACUUCCGUAAUUCGCGGCCCGUUCAGAAAGCAGACGGGGUGGCUGAGAUGCCAAUGG
This 65-nucleotide non-coding RNA is filed under the name unclassified sequences. RNAcentral's name for it is "pemK RNA". It matches the Rfam family "pemK RNA". The record is from RNAcentral.